RNAcentral lists this ribosomal RNA (413 nucleotides) under uncultured bacterium. RNAcentral's name for it is "bacterial SSU rRNA". It matches the Rfam family "Bacterial small subunit ribosomal RNA", at positions 30 to 447 of the family's 1533-position model. The record is from RNAcentral.
AUUGAACGCUGGCGGCAUGCCUUACACAUGCAAGUCGAACGGCAGCACGGGAGCAAUCCUGGUGGCGAGUGGCGAACGGGUGAGUAAUAUAUCGGAACGUGCCCAGUCGUGGGGAUAACGUAGCGAAAGCUACGCUAAUACCGCAUACGAUCUAUGGAUGAAAGCGGGGGAUCGCAAGACCUCGCGCGAUUGGAGCGGCCGAUAUCAGAUUAGGUAGUUGGUGAGGUAAAGGCUCACCAAGCCGACGAUCUGUAGCUGGUCUGAGAGGACGACCAGCCACACCGGGACUGAGACACGGCCCAGACUCCUACGGGAGGCAGCAGUGGGGAAUUUUGGACAAUGGGCGCAAGCCUGAUCCAGCAAUGCCGCGUGCAGGAUGAAGGCCUUCGGUGUAACUGCUUUGUACGGUAACG